RNAcentral lists this unclassified non-coding RNA (425 nucleotides) under soil metagenome. RNAcentral's name for it is "partial contains 5.8S ribosomal RNA, internal transcribed spacer 2, and large subunit ribosomal RNA". The stretch from base 1 to 120 matches the Rfam family "5.8S ribosomal RNA", at positions 35 to 154 of the family's 154-position model. The record is from RNAcentral.
GAUGAAGAACGCAGCGAAAUGCGAUAAGUAGUGUGAAUUGCAGAAUUCCGUGAAUCAUCGAAUCUUUGAACGCACAUUGCGCCUUCUGGUAUUCCGGAAGGCAUGCCUGUUCGAGAGUCAUUAACAACCGUCUCGAUCCCUUUCUUUCAGAAAUUACAAAGAGGAAAAGGGUUUGGUUAUGGUGGAGGAGGGAAAGGGAGCGUUUAGCCUGUAAAAAAAGAGGCUGUGUUCCGCCUCCCCCCCAAAAUUGUACAGGCGGUCGUGUGCGCCCACGCAUCGAGGUGUUGUAAAAGCUGCCACGGCACUUUUCACCUGUGCAGUGCGAGAUUGGCCAGCCGGUUUAAAAACCCCUCCAAACAAUCAAAGGUUGACCUCGGAUCAGGUAGGGAUACCCGCUGAACUUAAGCAUAUCAAUAAGCGGAGGA